UCUGUUAGAACUACGACCAAACAAUGCGCAGGCAAUCCACAGCAGCUGCCCUGCAAAUGUCAGCGCCAGCCCAGUCCAAAGAGCUUGAAACCUACCAAGCUAAAGGGCUAUGCUGUGCCUCUCUCGCGCACAUUUUCCCCAAGCACUCUCAGGAACCUGGCAACAGGUAACGUGGCAACCUUUGACUUAUAAAAGGGCAAGUGGCACAAUUUCAGGGAACAAAUGGACUUUUUUUUUAAAGCCAGCAUCUCCCCCACCACUCCCACACCCCACUCCCUCCCUCCCAACCAAAAGUGAGUAAAAAACAAAGCAUUGACGCGGGCAGUCCUACUCUCGAGUGUCCCCUUGUGGCCAAGCCUGGAACAUCACAUCCGUACUUUGCAAUCUGUGGAUCAGCUACGAGAUGGAUAUCUGAGAGCCAGGGAACUUUCUUUACCUCCUAGUAUCAUUUCAUGAGAAUUAGUAGCACCUGUACAAUGGAGCCUUGGAGACAGGAAUAAAAGGAAAAAUCUGGAAUGGAAUCACAUGACGCAACAGGCGAUGAAGACUCCCUGCCCCGCUCCUGUAUGUCUGGUAAACAGAAUAAAUAGCACUUGAGCAUCCCUGA
Long non-coding RNA from Piliocolobus tephrosceles (Ugandan red Colobus), 607 nucleotides. RefSeq lists it as uncharacterized. The transcript has 2 exons. NCBI's taxonomy places the organism in Eukaryota, Metazoa, Chordata, Mammalia, Primates, Cercopithecidae. The record is from RefSeq and is a predicted model, not a curated record.